RNAcentral lists this ribosomal RNA (253 nucleotides) under uncultured bacterium. Its description in RNAcentral is "partial 16S ribosomal RNA". It matches the Rfam family "Bacterial small subunit ribosomal RNA", at positions 524 to 776 of the family's 1533-position model. The record is from RNAcentral.
UACGUAGGUGGCAAGCGUUGUCCGGAUUUACUGGGCGUAAAGAGCGCGCAGGCGGUCCGAUCAGUCGAAUGUGAAAGCCCCCGGCUCAACUGGGGAGGGUCAUUCGAUACUGUCGGACUCGAAGGCAGGAGAGGGAAGCGGAAUUCCCGGUGUAGUGGUGAAAUGCGUAGAUAUUGGGAAGAACACCAGUGGCGAAGGCGGCUAACUGGUCCGGUACUGACGCUGAGGUGCGAAAGCGUGGGGAGCAAACAGG